RNAcentral lists this ribosomal RNA (301 nucleotides) under uncultured bacterium. Its description in RNAcentral is "partial 16S ribosomal RNA". It matches the Rfam family "Bacterial small subunit ribosomal RNA", at positions 509 to 807 of the family's 1533-position model. The record is from RNAcentral.
CAGUAGCCACGGUAAUACAGAGGGUGCGAGCGUUAAUCGGAUUUACUGGGCGUAAAGCGUGCGUAGGCGGCUUCUUAAGUCGGAUGUGAAAUCCCUGAGCUUAACUUAGGAAUUGCAUUCGAUACUGGGAAGCUAAAGUAUGGGAGAGGAUGGUAGAAUUCCAGGUGUAGCGGUGAAAUGCGUAGAGAUCUGGAGGAAUACCGAUGGCGAAGGCAGCCAUCUGGCCUAAUACUGACGCUGAGGUACGAAAGCAUGGGGAGCAAACAGGAUUAGAUACCCCCGUAGUCCCUGUCUCUUAUAC